CAACCCUUAAGCCUAGCUUAGUGUUGGGAGUCUACGUGCGGCCCAAGCUACCCUGUAGCGUGGUUACCCUGUAGUUCCUGAAAAUCAACGGCGGAUUUAUAGUAUCCUCUGAGCGUAGUAAUUUUUUAUCUCGCUUCUGUUUAGGUGCUGUGGAUUCUGCCGCUAAACCCCCAAUUUUUUGU
RNAcentral lists this unclassified non-coding RNA (182 nucleotides) under uncultured Xylariales. RNAcentral describes it as "sequence contains ITS2". The record is from RNAcentral. Lineage: Eukaryota; Fungi; Ascomycota; Sordariomycetes; Xylariales.